This 412-nucleotide long non-coding RNA is filed under the name Cricetulus griseus (Chinese hamster). RNAcentral's name for it is "lncRNA (ENSCGRG00000024207.1)". The record is from RNAcentral. Lineage: Eukaryota; Metazoa; Chordata; Mammalia; Rodentia; Cricetidae.
CCCUGCCGCUGUCUCUAAAGCAGGGCCUGGCCUUGGCAGGCCCCCGCACAUCUGUCUCUGGCCCCACCGCUGGAGUCUCUCAGUUCCCGGAGGAUCCGAAGGUGGAGAGCAGGGAGCAGUGUGGACCGUCCCUGAAGGGCCUUAGGUUAGUGUCUACCCAGUUUCCUUCACUGAAUGUGCAGAAGAGAAGAAAACAAUGCCUUCACCAGUCCCAGGAGUUCACACAUUUUAUUCAGCAGACAUUUCCGAGAACCUAUUUUGUGGGCAAAAGUAGCAGAAAAUUAGGAUAUUUUGACAUCACAUGGGAAAUGAGACAAAAGAAAGCCGCCCUUUGAAGUUGCCUCCUAUUGAAAGUGUCAUUCUGAUCAAAAGUUUCUUCCAGUUACUGCUUAGGCUGUGAGGUGAAUUUUCC